RNAcentral lists this ribosomal RNA (452 nucleotides) under uncultured organism. RNAcentral's name for it is "partial 16S ribosomal RNA". It matches the Rfam family "Bacterial small subunit ribosomal RNA", at positions 331 to 799 of the family's 1533-position model. The record is from RNAcentral.
GUACACUCCUGCGGGAGGCAGCAGUGGGGAAUAUUGGACAAUGGGCGCAAGCCUGAUCCAGCCAUGCCGCGUGAGUGAUGAAGGCCCUAGGGUUGUAAAGCUCUUUCACCGGUGAAGAUAAUGACGGUAACCGGAGAAGAAGCCCCGGCUAACUUCGUGCCAGCAGCCGCGGUAAUACGAAGGGGGCUAGCGUUGUUCGGAUUUACUGGGCGUAAAGCGCACGUAGGCGGACUAUUAAGUCAGGGGUGAAAUCCCGGGGCUCAACCCCGGAACUGCCUUUGAUACUGGUAGUCUUGAGUUCGAGAGAGGUGAGUGGAAUUCCGAGUGUAGAGGUGAAAUUCGUAGAUAUUCGGAGGAACACCAGUGGCGAAGGCGGCUCACUGGCUCGAUACUGACGCUGAGGUGCGAAAGCGUGGGGAGCAAACAGGAUUAGAUACCCGUGUAGUCCCAUG